Molecule: ribosomal RNA, 253 nt
Filed under: uncultured bacterium
Lineage: Bacteria
Description: partial 16S ribosomal RNA
Rfam family: Bacterial small subunit ribosomal RNA
Source: RNAcentral
UACAGAGGGUGCGAGCGUUGUUCGGAAUUAUUGGGCGUAAAGGGCGCGUAGGCGGUGCGGUAAGUCACCUGUGAAAUCUCCUGGCUCAACUGGGAGCUUGCAGGCGAAACUGCCGUGCUGGAGUGUGGGAGAGGUGCGUGGAAUUCCUGGUGUAGCGGUGAAAUGCGUAGAUAUCAGGAGGAACACCUGUGGCGAAAGCGGCGCACUGGGCCGUAACUGACGCUGAGGAGUGAAAGCGUGGGGAGCGAACAGG